Long non-coding RNA from Siniperca chuatsi (mandarin fish), 784 nucleotides. RefSeq lists it as uncharacterized. The transcript is spliced from 5 exons. Lineage: Eukaryota; Metazoa; Chordata; Actinopteri; Centrarchiformes; Sinipercidae. The record is from RefSeq and is a predicted model, not a curated record.
CCAGAAUGUACAGCAGUGAGAACAGAGACCAGAUAGUUGAGGAAGAUAAGGAUCCUGCCAGUUUCACAGAAAUGCCAAUCUGAGGUCUGCAGUGCUUUACCGAUCUUGUGACACUGGUUGGAUGGCCUGUUGGAUAAGCAUGCUGCACCUGAGGAUUUGACAUUAUCAGUUGAGCUGCAUCACUGCACCCACAGGACCACGGACCACAAAGUAGUAACCACUAAUGCUGAACAGAUGUUCAUCAGCUGCUGAAAUGGCAUGAACUCUUCCUGCAUGGUGGCUGGUUUCAUUGGGGCUUUAGCUGCAUUAAGGCGUCACUGCAGUUUAUUCGCUUGCUGCAGUAUAAAAUCACAUGAUAACAAGAAACACGACAACAGAAACUACCUGAAAGUAAGCAGAAGCAGCACCAAAAGAUCAAGACCCGCAGCGUAGUCCAUUCUCUUCAAGGUAGUACGGGUACAGUCACAUUGGAGGACAGGCAGGAAGCGGCGUGGGCAGCCUCCCUGUGUCACCGCCUGCGUCAGACCAGACGCCAGGAGGGAGUUUUCCACUGACGAAAAAGGCUGCGCUUCUCGGCAGUCUGCUACAGACAAGGGAAGCGCUUCAGCUGGUACGGAGCCCCGUGCGGCGGAGAAACACACAGACAAUAGCACCGAGAGCUGUCUAUAUGCGGGGAUAAGCGCUGUAUUUAUUUGUGCCAUCUGGAUUACUUACACUGGUAUCCCAUCGGCUGUUUACCCAACGCUAUUUUAUCACUAAUGGUGAUCGUUGAGUCGAAUUGGUG